CACAUGACUCUCGGCAACGGAUAUCUCGGCUCUCGCAUCGAUGAAGAACGUAGCAAAAUGCGAUACCUGGUGUGAAUUGCAGAAUCCCGCGAACCAUCGAGUUUUUGAACGCAAGUUGCGCCCGAGGCCUUCUGGCCGAGGGCACGUCUGCCUGGGCGUCACG
RNAcentral lists this ribosomal RNA (163 nucleotides) under Eragrostis curvula (weeping love grass). RNAcentral's name for it is "5.8S ribosomal RNA". It matches the Rfam family "5.8S ribosomal RNA". From Rfam's summary of the family: 5.8S ribosomal RNA (5.8S rRNA) is a component of the large subunit of the eukaryotic ribosome. It is transcribed by RNA polymerase I as part of the 45S precursor that also contains 18S and 28S rRNA. The record is from RNAcentral. Lineage: Eukaryota; Viridiplantae; Streptophyta; Magnoliopsida; Poales; Poaceae. RNAcentral also lists the same sequence under 6 other names.